ACAGCUUUUGGCCUUGCCAUCAUAUGGGUUCCUGCUACUCACCUCAGGACUUUUGUGGUGCUUCUUUUGGCCAGAGAAUAACUCCAGCACAGGACAUUAGAGCGUGUUGACCUUUCUGAUCUUGGGUCCGCUUCAGGUACUAAUGUCCAAUUUGGAUCAUCUUUGCCAUGAAGAAGUGCUAGUGGGAGUUGUAAGGGUGUUUUUUUGUGAAGAGAUCUGACUCUCUGUACCUGACUGCCCCAUUGGUACCAAAUGGGCUGAAUUUUUUCUAUCUGGUCAUGCAUCAGUCUGUAAAAAAAGCCUGCAGGAUGCAUCCCAGGGGAUGGACCUUACAGGUGGGAAUUCUCUCAGACUACAUUAUAAAACAAAGAUGGUUUCUGCCCAAUCUGUAGAUGGAGUAACAAGGAGGGGUUCCGUGCACAGUGACAUUUCACCUUGCCAUAAUUGCUUGCAAUUGCUAUUGGAAGUUUGAC
Long non-coding RNA from Vidua macroura (Pin-tailed whydah), 473 nucleotides. RefSeq lists it as uncharacterized. The record is from RefSeq and is a predicted model, not a curated record. Lineage: Eukaryota; Metazoa; Chordata; Aves; Passeriformes; Viduidae. The transcript has 3 exons.